UACGGAGGAUCCGAGCGUUAUCCGGAUUUAUUGGGUUUAAAGGGUGCGUAGGCGGUUUGAUAAGUUAGAGGUGAAAUGUCGGGGCUCAACCCCGAAACUGCCUCUAAUACUGUUGGACUAGAGAAUAGUUGCGGUAAGCGGAAUGUAUGGUGUAGCGGUGAAAUGCUUAGAGAUCAUACAGAACACCGAUUGCGAAGGCAGCUUACCAAACUAUAUCUGACGUUGAGGCACGAAAGCGUGGGUAGCAAACAGG
This 253-nucleotide ribosomal RNA is filed under the name uncultured bacterium. Its description in RNAcentral is "partial 16S ribosomal RNA". It matches the Rfam family "Bacterial small subunit ribosomal RNA", at positions 524 to 776 of the family's 1533-position model. The record is from RNAcentral.